CUCCGAAAAUAUUUGGCUUACUCCAGUACCCCAAGGACCUCCCGCUCCUUCGGUCGCUCUUUGCCGGCGUUUGGGUCGCAAACAAAUUAGCCACGGCAAACAAAGUGGACGACUAGUGGAUGAUAACCCCAGAAAUACAACAACAAUAGCAGCAGCGGCUGCUUGUAAUUAGUGGCAAUAACAAAACUUCAUGGCAUACUUGCAGGUCCUCAAACGUGUGCCAGUGAGUGUAUGUUUAUUUUUAUGCCCGGCUUCCUCUUCCUUUUGGCCCACUGUGUGCAUUUAAGUAUGUUAACAAGGAGCGGAGCGUGGAUGAGGAACUGCAAUUGCAGCAAUUGUGCAUCUAAAUAAAAAAAAAAAUAAAAAAACACAAGCGCAGCGCACUUUUCUGGGCCCCAGUUUCUGUUCAGUUCAGUUCCAGUUGCAAGUCGCCAAGUGCCGCUCACUCAAAUAAAAAAAUUGCCUCUCGUUGUCAGUUUAAUUAUGACAUAAAAAUGCCCGCAAGUAAUUUGACAUCAUUAGCCCCAGCCAAAGGAUGAUGGGUUUAGUGGGGUGAAGCGGGUGGAGCGGGCGGAAAGGAAGGUUCUGCAGGACGACAAACUCAACGAGGACACAAUUGUCGGCGGAAGUGCGCACACAACAACACACUCAUCGCCCCCGUUGUAUUUGUAGCUGUCAGUUUGUUUCGUUGCUGCUGUUCAUACACGUUAAGAAAAUAAUGGGAAUACAAAUUAAGUUACUAUUUGAUAUG
Drosophila melanogaster (fruit fly) is the source of this 751-nucleotide non-coding RNA. The record is from Ensembl. Lineage: Eukaryota; Metazoa; Arthropoda; Insecta; Diptera; Drosophilidae.